Molecule: non-coding RNA, 80 nt
Organism: Nematostella vectensis (starlet sea anemone)
Lineage: Eukaryota; Metazoa; Cnidaria; Anthozoa; Actiniaria; Edwardsiidae
Source: Rfam
UUUGUUUUCUUGCCAUUGUAUUUCCAGGUGUGAGGUUUUGUUUUUAUCAUAUCCAGGAUGACAGUGGCAAAACCACAACC